Molecule: ribosomal RNA, 490 nt
Filed under: uncultured Actinomycetes bacterium
Lineage: Bacteria; Bacillati; Actinomycetota; Actinomycetes
Description: bacterial SSU rRNA
Rfam family: Bacterial small subunit ribosomal RNA
Source: RNAcentral
ACUCCUACGGGAGGCAGCAGUGGGGAAUCUUGCGCAAUGGGCGAAAGCCUGACGCAGCAACGCCGCGUGGGGGAUGAAGGCUUUCGGGUUGUAAACCCCUUUCAGCAGGGACGAUUGUGACGGUACCUGCAGAAGAAGCCCCGGCCAACUACGUGCCAGCAGCCGCGGUAAUACGUAGGGGGCAAGCGUUGUCCGGAUUUAUUGGGCGUAAAGAGCUCGUAGGCGGCUCACUAAGUCGGAUGUGAAAACUCCAGGCUCAACCUGGAGACGCCAUUCGAUACUGGUGUGGCUUGAGUUCGGUAGGGGAGCACGGAAUUCCUGGUGUAGCGGUGAAAUGCGCAGAUAUCAGGAGGAACACCGGUGGCGAAGGCGGUGCUCUGGGCCGAAACUGACGCUGAGGAGCGAAAGCGUGGGUAGCAAACAGGAUUAGAUACCCUGGUAGUCCACGCCGUAAACGCUGGGCACUAGGUGUGGGACCCUAUCGACGGGA